RNAcentral lists this ribosomal RNA (64 nucleotides) under Hypericum triquetrifolium. Its description in RNAcentral is "partial 5.8S ribosomal RNA". The record is from RNAcentral. Lineage: Eukaryota; Viridiplantae; Streptophyta; Magnoliopsida; Malpighiales; Hypericaceae.
CAUAACAAUAACGACUCUCGGCAACGGAUAUCAAGGCUCUUGCAUCGAUGAAAAACGCAACAAA